GUCCAGAGGAGGGCAGCUAAAAUGAUCAAGCCCUAUGAGGAGUGGCUUAAAGAGCUGGGCAUGUUCAUAAGUGGGAGAUAAAGGUGGAAUUAGCAAGUGUAAUGUUACUGAGAAUAUAUAAUUGGAUGUGUAUAUUGAAAUGGUGAUGGAUUUUGUUAUUAUUCCACUGGUAUUUACAAUAAAAACAUAUAUAUAUAAGAGCUGGCCAUGUUUAGCCUGCAGAAGAGAAGGCGGAGAAGAGACAUGAAGGCCAGGUAUCAAGAUGUGAAGGGAAGCAAGUCAUAGGGAUGAGGAGACCAGGACACAAUGGAACCAUGGCUUCAAAUGACAGAAGGAAAUUCCACCUGAACAUCAGAAAGAACUUCCUGGCUGUGAGAGAAAACUGUUCAGCAGUGGAACUCUCUGCUCCAGAGUGUGGUGGAGGCUCCUUCUUUGGAGGCUUUGAAACAGAGGCUGGAUGGCCAUCUGUCAGGGGUGCUUUGAGUGUGAUUUCCCUGCAUCUUGGUAGAAUGGGGUUGGACUGGAUGGUUCCAGACCCUUGAUCCUUUGAGUCGCCCUUCUCAGGACACAUUCCAGCUUAGAGUCAACAUCUCCCUUCCAUUGCGGUGCCCAGAAUUGGACACAGUGUGAUUCCAGGUAAAGUGGUCUGACCAAGGCAGAAUAGAGGGGUAUUUAUUUAUUUACAGUAUUUAUAUUCCACCCUUCUUUCUCACCCCAAAGGGGACUCAGGGCGGAUCACAUUGUACACAUAUAAGGCAAACAUUCAAUGCCAUAUGAACAUAGAACAGAGACAGACGCAGAGGCAAUUUAAACCUUCUCCAGCUUCCUGAGGGUGAGCUUGAUUCCGGCCACAGGGUGAACAGCUGUUUCAUCAUCCACUGCGACGGCAACUUCCUCAUUCCAACGGCGGCUGGGUGAUUUUUAUGGUGUCGUAAAUCAGCCUCCCCACAUAUAAGUGGUACCUAAAUUUCCUACUUGAUAGAUGCAACAAUCUUUCGGGUUGCUUAGGUCAACAACGAGCAGGGGCUUUUUUAUUUUAAUUGUCAGGUGCUCACCCCGACACGGUCUGGCCUCGAACUCAUGACCUCUUGGUCAGAGUGAUUUAUUGCAGCUGGCUGCUAACCAGCCUGCGCCACAGUCCGGCCCCGCAUGACUUCCCUGGAUCUAGACACUACAGGCAAAAAUCCCAUUGGCUUUUUUAGCCUCCACACAACAUUGCUGGCUCAUGUUCACCUUCCUCCCUAUGUUGUCUAGCCAGACAUUCCCCAUUCUGUAUCUUUGCAUUUCCUUUUUUUUUCUGCCUAAGUGGAAUCUCUUGCAUUUGUCCCUGUUGAGGUUCAUUGUGUUCGUGUCGGCUAAUCAUCUUUCUCAUCUGUUAAGAUCGUUUUGAAUUCUGCUCCUGUCUUCUGGAGUAUUGGCUCUCUGCAAACUUGGUGAUCCUGCCUUCUGAUCUUUCAUCCAAGCCAUGAAUAAAGAUCCUGAACGGAACCGGGCCCAGAACCAGACCCUCCGCUUGUCACUUCUUUCCAAGAAGAAGAUCCUUUCACAACAUGACUUGAAAACUUUUUACCCACGCCAACUUGACAAUUUUGAAGGACCUGAGUUCUUAUCAAGUCUGAUAUGUGAUGUGUGAGCUUCCGCUUAAAGUCUUUCACUGGCAUCUGCCAAAGAAAAAACUUAUGGAAAUACCCACAACUUCCUCCUCCGCUUCUUUGUCACGAUUUUAACGUAGCCUCCUUUGAAACCCAUAGGAUUAGAUUAAACUGAGAUCAUCAGUCUCAAGACCCAUCAUGAGACAACCCGGCCCAUUGAAAAUGCUCAACGUUUGGAAAAGCGGAAGACAUUGUGCCGCAAAGUUGGUUCAUACAGUUUCACCUCCGGCUGUAUCUGCUUGAGCAAAAGCCUGGAGUGAAAUACAAGACCGCUUCCUGUGAAACGGAUCGCUCUCUGCAACAGAAAAUUUCCACUGUUGACAGCGCCGACCUCUGAAUGCCCCAACAGAUGAAUCUGUAUUUGUGUGCAUGUUUUUUUUUCUGGUUUAUGGUGUGACUUGCCCAAGGUCACCCCAUAGGUUUUCAUAGUCUCUAGAGUCGCAGUCCAACAAUCAAACCAGUAAGCCACACUGGCUUCUUUCUGGCAAGUUCAAGUAAAUCUAAUGUGUGGUGCGUCUAUGCUGGAGAAUUAAUAUAGUUUGACACUGCUUUAACUGCCAUGGCUAGGUGCUAUGGAAUCCCGGGAGUUGUGGUUUGGUGAGGAAACAGCCCUCGAGAAUUGGUAGAGUAGGCCAAAGGUGUUACAGAACUACAACUCCCACAAUUCCAAAGCAUUGAGCCUUGGCAGGUAAAGUGGGAAAGGGCCAGUUGGGAGGAGCCCGGUAGUGGUGGUCAGCUUCUCCAGCCAUCCAGGCGUGUGCUGCCACCUGGUGGCAAUUUUGGAGUAAAUUGGGAAGGAAAGGGGACAAAGAACGGAGCAGGGGGGGAAAAAGACAGACAAAAUUGUCAGGACUGCUUUGUUCUCAAACCGUAGGCCUUUUUGUUGUUGUCACCAUAAAUCAGAAAUAGCUUGAAGUAUUACAACAAGAGGCCACGGUGGCACAGUGGGUUAAACCCAUGUGCUGCUGAUCUGCGGACCUGAAGGUUGGCAGUUCGAAUCCAAGGGACAGGAUGAGCUCCCGCUGUCGGCCCUAGCUCCUGCCAACCCAGCGGUUUGAAAACAUGCAGAUGUGAGUGGAUAAAUAGGUAGUCCUUCAGCGGGAAAGGCAAAAAGACGCUCCAAGCAGUCACGAAGGCCACACAACCAGGUGACAAGGCAGGUUUGUAGGAAAAGCAAAAAAGUACCAAGUACCCUUGUCAGCCACACAAGCAUGAGGUGUCUAUAGACAACACAGGCUCCUUGGCUUGGAAAUGGAGAAGAGUACCUCCCAGAGCCGGAGAUGAGCACCACCUCCAGAGCCAGAAAUGAAAGGAGAAGCCUUUGCCUUUGUCUGUGUUGUGUGUCUCAUUGUAUGUGAUUGUAAACAAGGCAUUGAAUGUUUGCCUGCAUCUGCUUAUAUAUACUGUAAUUCGCCAUGAGUCCCCUCAGGGAGAAGGGCAGAAUAUAUUAUUUAUUUACUACAUUUAUAUCCCGAAGGGGACUCAGAGCGGCUUACAAAUCAAAUGAACAUACAAUAUAUUAUUAGCAUAGCACAAUAUACUGUAUAUACCCGAGUAUAAGCCGGAUUUUUCAGCCCUUUUUUAAGAUUGAAAAAGCCCCCUUCGGCUUAUACUUGGGUGAGGGUCCUGGUUGGCUUAUAUUUGGGUCAGCUUAUACUCGAGAAUAUAUGGUACAUUUAUUAUUUUUCUCUAUUAUUAUUGGUAUUAUUACAUUUAUUAUUUUUCUCUAUUAUGGUUGCUACUAUUACAUUUAUUUUACUCUAUUUUUAUUAUUAUUAAUAAUAAUACAUUUAUUAUUUCACUCUGAUCUUAUGAUUAUUAUUGCAUUUAUUAUUUCACUCUAUUUAUUACAUGUAUUAUUUUCCUGUAUUUAUUAUUAUUAUUAUUAGAUGUAUUAUUUUACUCUAUUCUUAUUAAAAGGAUACAUAAGCACAUUUACAUUGAAGAAGAUGAGAAUAAUGAUUUGAUCAGAGUUGGACAGUCUUAUCUUAAAUUUGAGCUUGAUGUAAAUAUUUAAAAACAUUUAACCCACUGAUGCCCCAAUUAAUGGAAUUUUUUUUAUUUCUGAAAUUUACCACCCUCGGCUUAUACUGGAGUCAAUGUUUUCCCAGGUUUUUGUGGUAAAAUUAUGUGCCUCGGCUUAUAUUCAGGUCAGCUUAUACUCGAGUAUAUAUGAUAAAUAAAGUGUUGUUGUUGUUAAUUUUGAAAGUGCGGCUGGAUAUUUUUUGUUUAUGUCCCUUAUGCCAAGAGAAACCAAACCAGUUCUCUUUUUCAUACUUCUUCCAUAAGAUCCACAGAAACCUGAAUUUUAAGGAACUAUGUUCCAGAAAGGAGGAAGAGGAGGACGCAGACUCACCCACCGAGGACCCUCUGCCUCACAAGCUUCCUGGCAUUUCAUCCCAACAGCUUCAGCUGGACUUCAAGACUACAUGCCUCCUUCUGUCUGUCUUGUUCUGUUCUGUCCUGUCUAUGUGUACUGUGAUCCUCCCUGAGUCCCCUUAGGGAGAUAAGGCGGAAUAUAAAUAAAGUGUAUUAUUAUUAUUAUUAUUAUUAUUAUUAUUAUUAUUAUUAAUAUUAUUAUUAUUAUUAUUAUUAUUAUUAUUAUUAUUAUUAUUAUGGUCCAAUUAAUGUGGGAAACAGGGAGGGCAUUGGAGAGACCCUACAAAUUUUCCAGGGUGGUUGCUUAAAACCGACUGUAAACUAGUUUAUUUUAAAGUAAGACCAGCAAGUGAACAAAAUAUUAAAAAGUAGCUAUCAAUCAUCUAUACCAGUGGUUCCCAACCUUUUUUUGACCAGGGACAACUCUCCAACAUUAGUACCAAAUUGGUUAUGAAUCAGUUUUUGGUCAAUUUUAGAUUCAUUUUGGUUAUUUGGGGUGCUGAUUCAGAAAAUUGCAUGGGAUAGACCACAUCAGUUCUAGUUUCUUUUUUAUUAUUGUGAUAGUAAAAUGAUUUUUUUUAAUUUAUAAAGGCUUCACAUAUAUAUUUUUCUGGUUGGAUGAAUGUCGAUUCCGUGUGCCAAAGCUAUUAUGGUAGCAUUCAGAAAGAGCUUGAAAACCUGGCUCUUCACUCAGGCCUUUGGAUAACGAUUGCUCAUCCCCAUAACAAUCCUGUAUCCGUGACCAUUCUUGUACCGGUUUGCACUUUUUACCUUUAUCAACUUGAUAUAGACACAGGGUCUACUACUCCCAUCCCAAUUUGCACUUCCAAGAAUUUGCAGCACUUUAUCAGUCACCUCGUGUUUACAAUAUUUAUAUGGUACACUUUACCCAGUCUACUUUUACAACCUCUCCAUUUUAAUCCAUGUUUUUAUUAGUUCUUGUCAUUUGUUUUUAUUGGCUAAUGUUUAAAUUUUUAUAAUUGUGCAUGUCUCUUGUCUAUUGUUGUGUUUUAUAUUGCUAUUGUUUUUAUUCGGGCUUGGCCCCAUGUAAGCCGCCCUGAGUCCCCUUUGGGGAGAUAGAGGCAGGGUAUAAAAAUAAAGUUGUUGUUGUUGUUGU
Anolis carolinensis (green anole) is the source of this 5148-nucleotide long non-coding RNA. RefSeq lists it as uncharacterized. The transcript has 2 exons. NCBI's taxonomy places the organism in Eukaryota, Metazoa, Chordata, Lepidosauria, Squamata, Anolidae. The record is from RefSeq and is a predicted model, not a curated record.